AUCAUUCUUGAAGUCUGGUUGUUGCUGGCCUUUCUUGGGGCAUGUGCACGCCUUAUUCAAACCCACCUGUGCACCUUUUGUAGACUUGUGUUUGUCUACCGAUAAUUAUUUACUCCCGUAUUCAGAAUGUAUUGAUUGGCCUCAGUGCCUUUAAUCAAAUAAUACAACUUUCAGCAACGGAUCUCUUGGCUCUCGCAUCGAUGAAGGACGCAGCGAAACGCGAUAAGUAAUGUGAAUUGCAGACACGUGAAUCAUCGAAUCUUUGAACGCACCUUGCGCUCCUUGGUGAUCUGAGGAGCAUGCCUGUUUGAGUGUCAUUAAAUUCUCAACCUAACCAGCUUUUGUGAGCUGGGAUAUAGGCUUGGAUUGUGGGGGCUUUGCUGGCUUCAACCAAAGUCAGCUCCCCUUAAACGCAUUAGUGGAACGAUUUUGUUGACCUUGUUCCUGGUGUGAUAAAACCUUUAUCACCACCGUGUGCAGUCAGCUUACUCUGCUUCUAACAACGUUUAUUAAACUCUUGACCAUUUGACCUCAAAUCAGGUAGGACUAGCCGCUGAAUUU
Molecule: unclassified non-coding RNA, 561 nt
Filed under: Termitomyces fuliginosus
Lineage: Eukaryota; Fungi; Basidiomycota; Agaricomycetes; Agaricales; Lyophyllaceae
Description: partial contains ITS1, 5.8S rRNA and ITS2
Rfam family: 5.8S ribosomal RNA (bases 166-317)
Source: RNAcentral